GCGAAAAGAACCCCGGCGAGGGGAGUGAAAAAGAACCUGAAACCGUGUACGUACAAGCAGUGGGAGCACGCUUAGGCGUGUGACUGCGUACCUUUUGUAUAAUGGGUCAGCGACUUAUAUUCUGUAGCAAGGUUAACCGAAUAGGGGAGCCGAAGGGAAACCGAGUCUUAACUGGGCGUUAAGUUGCAGGGUAUAGACCCGAAACCCGGUGAUCUAGCCAUGGGCAGGUUGAAGGUUGGGUAACACUAACUGGAGGACCGAACCGACUAAUGUUGAAAAAUUAGCGGAUGACUUGUGGCUGGGGGUGAAAGGCCAAUCAAACCGGGAGAUAGCUGGUUCUCCCCGAAAGCUAUUUAGGUAGCGCCUCGUGAAUUCAUCUCCGGGGGUAGAGCACUGUUUCGGCAAGGGGGUCAUCCCGACUUACCAACCCGAUGCAAACUGCGAAUACCGGAGAAUGUUAUCACGGGAGACACACGGCGGGUGCUAACGUCCGUCGUGAAGAGGGAAACAACCCAGACCGCCAGCUAAGGUCCCAAAGUCAUGGUUAAGUGGGAAACGAUGUGGGAAGGCCCAGACAGCCAGGAUGUUGGCUUAGAAGCAGCCAUCAUUUAAAGAAAGCGUAAUAGCUCACUGGUCGAGUCGGCCUGCGCGGAAGAUGUAACGGGGCUAAACC
RNAcentral lists this ribosomal RNA (673 nucleotides) under Escherichia coli. RNAcentral describes it as "partial 23S ribosomal RNA". It matches the Rfam family "Bacterial large subunit ribosomal RNA", at positions 514 to 1188 of the family's 2925-position model. Lineage: Bacteria; Pseudomonadati; Pseudomonadota; Gammaproteobacteria; Enterobacterales; Enterobacteriaceae. The record is from RNAcentral.